GGGCCGAUAGCUCAGUUGGGAGAGCGCUGCGUUCGCAAUGCAGAGGUCGGGAGUUCGAUCCUCCUUCGGUCCACCA
RNAcentral lists this transfer RNA (76 nucleotides) under Chromobacterium vaccinii. RNAcentral describes it as "tRNA-Ala". It matches the Rfam family "tRNA". From Rfam's summary of the family: Transfer RNA (tRNA) molecules are approximately 80 nucleotides in length. Their secondary structure includes four short double-helical elements and three loops (D, anti-codon, and T loops). RNAcentral also lists the same sequence under 1 other name. The record is from RNAcentral. Lineage: Bacteria; Pseudomonadati; Pseudomonadota; Betaproteobacteria; Neisseriales; Chromobacteriaceae.